RNAcentral lists this ribosomal RNA (506 nucleotides) under uncultured bacterium. RNAcentral describes it as "bacterial SSU rRNA". It matches the Rfam family "Bacterial small subunit ribosomal RNA", at positions 1024 to 1529 of the family's 1533-position model. The record is from RNAcentral.
GACAGAGGAGACAGGUGGUGCAUGGUUGUCGUCAGCUCGUGUCGUGAGAUGUUGGGUUAAGUCCCGCAACGAGCGCAACCCUUACCUUCAGUAGCCAGCGAGUAAAGUCGGGCACUCUGGAGGGACUGCCAGGGAUAACCUGGAGGAAGGUGGGGAUGACGUCAAAUCAUCAUGCCCCUUAUGAUUUGGGCUACACACGUGCUACAAUGGCGUAAACAAAGGGAAGCGAAGCCGUGAGGUGAAGCAAAUCCCAAAAAUAACGUCUCAGUUCGGAUUGUAGUCUGCAACUCGACUACAUGAAGCUGGAAUCGCUAGUAAUCGCGAAUCAGAAUGUCGCGGUGAAUACGUUCCCGGGUCUUGUACACACCGCCCGUCACACCAUGGGAGUUGGUAACGCCCGAAGUCAGUGACUCAACCGAAAGGGGAGAGCUGCCGAAGGCGGGACUGAUAACUGGGGUGAAGUCGUAACAAGGUAGCCGUAUCGGAAGGUGCGGUUGGAUCACCUC